UACGUAGGUGGCAAGCGUUGUUCGGAUUCACUGGGCGUAAAGGGUGCGUAGGUGGCUGGGAAAGUCUGAUGUGAAAUCUCCGAGCUCAACUCGGAAACUGCAUUGGAAUCUAAACGGCUAGAGGGUCGGAGGGGGGACUGGAAUUCUCGGUGUAGCAGUGAAAUGCGUAGAUAUCGAGAGGAACACCAGUGGCGAAGGCGAGUCCCUGGACGACACCUGACACUGAGGCACGAAAGCUAGGGGAGCAAACAGG
RNAcentral lists this unclassified non-coding RNA (253 nucleotides) under uncultured Verrucomicrobiota bacterium. RNAcentral's name for it is "uncultured Verrucomicrobia bacterium contains 16S-23S intergenic spacer region". It matches the Rfam family "Bacterial small subunit ribosomal RNA", at positions 524 to 776 of the family's 1533-position model. The record is from RNAcentral. Lineage: Bacteria; Pseudomonadati; Verrucomicrobiota.